Nicotiana tabacum (common tobacco) is the source of this 1115-nucleotide non-coding RNA. The record is from RefSeq and is a predicted model, not a curated record. Lineage: Eukaryota; Viridiplantae; Streptophyta; Magnoliopsida; Solanales; Solanaceae.
UAUGGUCUUGGGCAAGAGUUGGAGUCACUCGGCCACCAAUUAUCUUCAUUUGGCCCAUUGUUUCCCAUUAAAACAAUUCGCCCCAAGUUGAUCUAGUUACUGUUCUCAUUUAUAAUCCAAGUUGAUACUAUUUGUCAUGUGGCUGGCUAUACGACAUUGUUUUUGUUUUUUUUUGGAAAAUUUCUAGGAAACCGUAGCUGCUAUUCUUCGGGUACGCACUGAAUAACUAGCUCACCGUGUAAUAACUCGCAAAUCACACAGAAGAUAUAAAUUGCAUUAGGCACGCCCGGUACGACUAGCUCUGACCGGGAAGACUACUGGUGAGGAGAAUCGAUCUCAGAUCUCCCAUGUGAGAAACCACUCACCCAAAUAACUCAAUCAACCCCGGCGGCGGGCGUGACUUCACAGUAAGUCUUUGUGAAGGCUUUCUUUUUGUCAUUUUUCUCCCUUGUUUAGAACAAGUUGUUCUGACAGUUGCACGAGAAACUAUUAAGUUCUAUAAAUAGGGGAGAAACAUUGUUUUCCUUUUUACAGCAAAAAAUUGAAACUCCAAAUAGCUCAUCAAAAUGUUUUCCAAAACUAACCUUUUUCUUUGCCUUUCUUUGGCUAUUUUGCUAAUUGUAAUAUCCUCACAAGCUGAUGCAAGGGAGACGUCUAAGGCAACUGCUCCAAUUACCCAAGAAAUGAAUUCAAACAACACUACUGAUCAGAAGAUACCAAAACGUCCAAAACCAGGAGGCAAUAUCUUCGGCAAAGCUUGUAAAAUUUGCCCAUGUAAAUACCAGAUUUGCAGCAAAUGUCCUAAAUGUGAUGACCAAAAUUAGGCCUCAGAGACUAUGUACUUGUGCUGGUGUGAGUUUAGUUUUGAGAAUAAAGGGAAAGUUAUGAAUAGCCUAAUAUAAUUCUAUUCACUUUCCUCUAGUUAAUUUCUCUUAGUUUGUGUUUUGUUUUGUUAGUAGUUCCUAUUGUUGCAACUUGCAACAAGUCUUGGGGUCAACAUGUACCUCUUGUCUUGUAGUCUUUCGACUGUAUGAUAUUGUACCGUAUUGUAUUGUAUUUUUCUUUAGCCACUUGUUAUCUGAAACCAAAUCCAAUUAAAUCUAAUUCGCGUUGCA